Molecule: ribosomal RNA, 431 nt
Filed under: uncultured bacterium
Lineage: Bacteria
Description: partial 16S ribosomal RNA
Rfam family: Bacterial small subunit ribosomal RNA
Source: RNAcentral
CCUACGUGAGGCAGCAGUGGGGAAUUUUGGACAAUGGGCGCAAGCCUGAUCCAGCAAUGCCGCGUGAGUGAAGAAGGCCUUCGGGUUGUAAAGCUCUUUUGUGGAACGCGCGGUACCUGAAGAAUAAGCACCGGCUAACUACGUGCCAGCAGCCGCGGUAAUACGUAGGGUGCAAGCGUUAAUCGGAAUUACUGGGCGUAAAGCGUGCGCAGGCGGUUUUGCAAGUUUGUCGUGAAAUCCCCGGGCUCAACCUGGGAAUGGCGAUGAAGACUGCAAGGCUAGAGUUUGGCAGAGGGGGGUAGAAUUCCACGUGUAGCAGUGAAAUGCGUAGAUAUGUGGAGGAACACCGAUGGCGAAGGCAGCCCCCUGGGUCAACUGACGCUCAUGCACGAAAGCGUGGGGAGCAAACAGGAUUAGAUACCCUUGUAGUC